GGGGAUGUAGCUUAGUGGUGGAACCCUUGCCUUGCAUGUAUGAGUCCUGGGUUCAAUCCCUAGUAUCCACC
This 71-nucleotide transfer RNA is filed under the name Heterocephalus glaber (naked mole-rat). It matches the Rfam family "tRNA". Rfam says of the family: Transfer RNA (tRNA) molecules are approximately 80 nucleotides in length. Lineage: Eukaryota; Metazoa; Chordata; Mammalia; Rodentia; Bathyergidae. The record is from Rfam by way of RNAcentral.